AUUAAACGCUGGCGGCAUGCCUUACACAUGCAAGUCGAACGGCAGCACGGGGGCAACCCUGGUGGCGAGUGGCGAACGGGUGAGUAAAGCAUCGGAACGUGCCCUGGAGUGGGGGAUAACGUAGCGAAAGUUACGCUAAUACCGCAUAUUCUGUGAGCAGGAAAGCAGGGGAUCGCAAGACCUUGCGCUCUGGGAGCGGCCGAUGUCGGAUUAGCUAGUUGGUGGGUAAAGGCCUACCAAGGCGACGAUCCGUAGCGGGUCUGAGAGGAUGAUCCGCCACACUGGAACUGAGACACGGUCCAGACUCCUACGGGAGGCAGCAGUGGGGAAUUUUGGACAAUGGGCGCAAGCCUGAUCCAGCCAUGCCGCGUGAGUGAAGAAGGCCUUCGGGUUGGUUAAAGGACUC
This 406-nucleotide ribosomal RNA is filed under the name uncultured bacterium. RNAcentral's name for it is "bacterial SSU rRNA". It matches the Rfam family "Bacterial small subunit ribosomal RNA", at positions 29 to 433 of the family's 1533-position model. The record is from RNAcentral.